Molecule: ribosomal RNA, 468 nt
Filed under: uncultured bacterium
Lineage: Bacteria
Description: partial 16S ribosomal RNA
Rfam family: Bacterial small subunit ribosomal RNA
Source: RNAcentral
GACGAACGCUGGCGGCGUGCUUAACACAUGCAAGUCGAACGGAAAGGCCCUGCUUUUGUGGGGUGCUCGAGUGGCGAACGGGUGAGUAACACGUGAGUAACCUGCCCUUGACUUUGGGAUAACUUCAGGAAACUGGGGCUAAUACCGGAUAGGAGCUCCUGCUGCAUGGUGGGGGUUGGAAAGUUUCGGCGGUUGGGGAUGGACUCGCGGCUUAUCAGCUUGUUGGUGGGGUAGUGGCUUACCAAGGCUUUGACGGGUAGCCGGCCUGAGAGGGUGACCGGCCACAUUGGGACUGAGAUACGGCCCAGACUCCUACGGGGGGCAGCAGUGGGGAAUAUUGCACAAUGGGCGGAAGCCUGAUGCAGCAACGCCGCGUGCGGGAUGACGGCCUUCGGAUUGUAAACCGCUUUCGCCUGUGACGAAGCGUGAGUGACGGUAAUGGGUAAAGAAGCACCGGCUAACUACGUG